This 105-nucleotide small nucleolar RNA is filed under the name Dipodomys ordii (Ord's kangaroo rat). RNAcentral describes it as "Small nucleolar RNA U13". It matches the Rfam family "Small nucleolar RNA U13". The record is from Rfam by way of RNAcentral. Lineage: Eukaryota; Metazoa; Chordata; Mammalia; Rodentia; Heteromyidae.
AUCCUCUUUUGGUUCAUGAGUUUAAUGAUUAGGUAUUCGCACACUGUGUCAUAUGUAUGACUCCCUCACAUCUCGUUAUGAAGUCAGUUCAUUAACCUUCUGAUG